Long non-coding RNA from Hippocampus comes (tiger tail seahorse), 937 nucleotides. RefSeq lists it as uncharacterized. The transcript is spliced from 4 exons. The record is from RefSeq and is a predicted model, not a curated record. NCBI's taxonomy places the organism in Eukaryota, Metazoa, Chordata, Actinopteri, Syngnathiformes, Syngnathidae.
GAACAAAAAAAAAAAAGCACUUUGUAUUAUGAAUUUAUUGGAGGUGUAUGUUUUGACUGGUGAGUCGCUUGCUUAUGAAAAUAUGUGGCCAUGGAUGUAAACAUAACUGAAUAACCAGCAUCCUUAUGUGACCGUAUUGAGCAGAACAUUGCAACUUUGCAGCUGAAAUGCACACAUUGUCCAGACCAGAGUCCAAAAUGCAUCCCUGUCACUUUUCUUGUAUCUCCAGAUGAUAAAUCUCCAACUCUUACCCUUUUCUUUGCUUAUUUGUGGGAAAAAAAAGUGUGUCGUCUCCCUCAACACGGCACGAAUGGACAACAAGCAAAGAAGGAAUGGAUUCUGCAGCAGCAACAACAACAGAACAGAACGCGUCUGCCGUCUUCUUCCCGCUGCUAUUCAAAGCGCCCAACCUAAAAGACAAGAAUCACGCAUCAGUCCCAUCACUGCCAUCAGGGCGGACCGGCGGAGCAUUCAAAAGACGGCAUUAUGAAAUCAGCGGAUUUCUGCCACUGGCCUCCUUAAAGCCGCGGGAUAAUGAGCAAUCAUCAUAAAGCAAGAGGACGGAAAUACUCCAUUCUUCUCCCGCUGUCAACUUUUUGAUCAGCGCAUCCGCGUCGGAGCCCAUUGGCAGAAUCGGGCUUAAUAACAACCUGACAGAGUCGCCCCCCGCCCCGGCGCCCCUGCUCGCACAAAAGGGACGUGUCAUUUCAUCAACCUGCCGUGACCCCCGCCAGUGGCUAAACAGCGCCUGGAAAAUAAGGGGAAAGAAGCCCGAAGGUGUUUGUGCGACCAGUGACUGCUCGUUGGAAGCGUUCGGAAUUUCUGGCGGAGGUUCCCGGCUACAGCUGAAGAAAAAGAUUGUCAAAGCAGGAUGCUGUUGCCGCCAAGCUUCACUGUAGGAAACCGGAGUACCCGGAGAAAACCCACGCAAGGAUGG